Molecule: long non-coding RNA, 1611 nt
Organism: Oreochromis niloticus (Nile tilapia)
Lineage: Eukaryota; Metazoa; Chordata; Actinopteri; Cichliformes; Cichlidae
Exons: 3
Source: RefSeq, a predicted model, not a curated record
GCUCAGUAUAUUAGGACCUGAGAUGUGUUUCCCUUUUUUGGGCUGUGAUCCUCGAGACUCCCCGACACACCUGUGGAGCAUCAGGCAUCAUCAGCCGUCUGGUGUCAAAGUGUUGUCUCACCCACAGCUUGCCUCGUUUUCCCUGGCCACCAAACAGCCUGAGGACCCCUUCCACGCUCAUCAGUUUGCCUUUCUGAGUUCGUCUCCCUCUGGAUAUCCAUCACCAGGUCCACCUGCGCCGCCUCAGCCACCAGCUCCACGCGCUCCUGUCCGAGCCUAUAAAUAAGCGUGUGACAAAGUGCUUGACUGUCUCUGCCAGCUGACCCCACGUUCCCAGUAUCCAAUUGUUUCAAUAUUCUUUCACAGUACAAAAAAAAAAAAAAUCGGUUUCAUUACUUCAAACGUGUCGUUGUGAUCUGCUACCUGGCUCCACCCGAGUUAUUCCUAACAAAAUAGAAGGCACAGUACAACACAUGAUGUGCUUUGUUAUGAACAUGAGUCAUCUCACUUGAAGGUAAAGUCUGAGGAGCUAAAUCAAAAGGGAGCAAACACACCGUAGAGAGCUGAGAGACAAUGAGCACAAGCACCAUCCUGAAAGGAAACUUUGCCAGUGGAACUUUAUCAGACUUUGCACUUAGCUGAAACACAUGUGAGCCUUCUGCCGAUAUGCAGUGUUUCACAUGAUUAUAGCUGCUGCUGAAAUUCUUCAUUGCUCACUAGCUUCUAUGUAAAAUGCACUAAAAAUGGUGUGUGUAGACACUAGAGCCAAAAUCUGAAUAAUCGCCCAUAUUAUGCUGAUUGUGUUAUUUUUCUGACACCACAUUCUGAUUUUGUGACUCUUUCAUAUUGUAAUGGAUCACAUUUAACUACUGCUGGGGAAAUACUAGAGAUUUCCCUAAACCCUGACACAAUCUCUGGACCGAGCCAGCUAAUAAAAAAUGCAAGGGAGGCAGAGCAUCCCAGUAGCCUAUAACACAUCUUUCUAUGUGUUCUCAUGAGCUUAUUUUUCACUGUGUUCUUGUUGUUUUCUCUCACUUUGGUUUGUUUCAUGAUCAUUUUUCUUUUUAAUUUUGUUCAACAUCUUUUAUGAAAUGAAGGUGUAAAUGGUGUAUUUUACAUUUUCUCUCACAGCCCUCUGUGUCUUUGGUCCAUCCUGAGGUCUCUGCCAUCAAACAGAUGAAUUCUCUGUACCAUUUAACAUGGCUUGUUUAACUGGUAUUCAAACUAGCAAGUAGUGUCAACAAAGGGACACUGUGGAUCAGUGUGGAUUACUGAGUUUUACAAACUCUCGUGAUCUCUGAUUGGUGACAGUGGCAUGAGGUGAGGUCCGGAACAAGAAGUAAUCAGGUAAAUGGAGAGCUUUGCCUCGAGCCCCCAAAGCCAUGUGAUCAUGUGUUGUGAUAAACAAUUAGGGUAGUAUUGUGCUUACAUUUUUUUGCAUAUGUAGUUUUCUUUCCAGACCUAUUACAAGUCGUCACUCAGAUGCUUGAACAAUAAAACAUUCACCAACCAUCUGAGCGGUACUUUGUAGUUUUCUCCAUCAUCAAAACAGUUUAUACAUCACAUUAGAUGCAGAGAUCUAUUAUUAUCUUUUGGAUAAUCAGAUUUCUU